RNAcentral lists this ribosomal RNA (2052 nucleotides) under Triticum aestivum (bread wheat). RNAcentral describes it as "partial small subunit ribosomal RNA". The record is from RNAcentral. Lineage: Eukaryota; Viridiplantae; Streptophyta; Magnoliopsida; Poales; Poaceae.
AUGCAGUCCCAGCGACCGUCCAAGCAGAUGUGUUUCAUCGUGGCAAUUGUCCGAGCAGGUUCACUCCAUCCUCAUCGCCACUUGAUCUCGGUGGCUCGCUUGCGGCCCAGCCCAAUUCCACCAUCGAUCACAAUAGCUAGCGCAUUAGGGCACGAGCAACCACAGCCAGUCUCUCGUCUCUCCCUUUCUCUGCUCUGCGCCGCCUCGCCUCUCUCUCGCCACGCAAAUCUGGAUCGACGGCGACGAGCGACGCCGCGCUUCCUCGCCAACUCGGCACCGACGGUGACAGGCGGCGCGACCGUUCCUCACCACACCGGACGUAGACGGACGCGCCUCCCCUGGUUUCUCGUGGAACGUGACGAGCCGGAGCAGACGCCUAUCGUCGCAACAAUGGACAAGCAAAAGGGGAAGGCGAGUGGGAAGGAGAAGGAGAAAGAGAGGACGUUGGACUCCAUUAUGAAGAGAAAGUUGCCGGUCUCGGGGAUGCAGAAGGGGAAUGAGAAGGGCAAUGCAGCAGCUACUACACGGCUGCCGAGGAAGCUGACAAAUGAUUCCAGCAAUGUCCCAAUCGCUGAGUUGUUGUAUAGGGUAAAAAAGAAACCUCCGCCUCGACGUCUCCCUGACCCCACCGGCGCUGGCGUGCGUGCCGGAAUCGCCGUUGCCUCCGGCUCCGCAAACUACUAUGAGAGGGAGGCUACAUCUUCGCAGGCAAUGGAGCAUGAUAAGCAAGCGGAGGAGGAUCAUGAAGAGGUGGAAGAGGAUGAGGAGGAGGACGAGGAAGAGAAAGAUACUUUGUUUGAGGUGCCGCCUGGGGUUGGUGACAAAUCAGAUUCAGAUGGGUUUGUGGAUAGUGAAGAAGAAGCCUUCGAAGGUGGAAGCACCUCAUCCAUGGGAAGACAUAUGGACACAUGCAAGAAUUACAAGGACAAGGUUAAUAGGGAUCUCAUCCAAGCUACUCUAUUUUUUAGAAAAACCAAUGCAACAACAAGUGGUCCAGCAGUCCGGUGCAUUGAGUAUGAUAAGGACCUCAUCAAGGAGGUCAUGGCAAAGAUGAUUUGUUACAUUGGAUAUGACUACAGGAGUUCUUUGAAACCAGAAAUGGUGGAAGCCUUGGUGUGUGGUGCUAGUUAUAUCAAAGGUUCUCACAAGGACUUCAAUGUGGUGGAGAGGGAUGAAGAUGAGGAGGACAAUGUUGAGAAUAUCAAGUUGCCCAAGAUUGUUGAUGUGGGGGAUAUUCGCCAUGUGGGUGUUGUUCUUGCUAUUUUGAAGAUGGAUGUCUACAUGAUCUUCUCAUGUGGAUUGUUGAGUCAUUGUUUGGCUGUCAACAUUUUCUCAGUUUUAUGUCAAAGUGGUUUAAUUGCCGCAAAAAAUCAAGUAUAUGCACUAUAUACAGAGGUCUGUACUAUUAAAUGGUUCUGGGAGAAACUGGCUUACGAGUCGGCUCGGUCUGAGCCGAGCCAUAGCCAAAGCGAGCCGAGCCGGUUGAAAAAUCACACAACUAGUAUGGACGAAGGCGGGUGUUUAUUCAAAAAUAAGGGCCGAGUUAGAUUAGGUGUAGGGUGUGUUUCUUCAAAAAUGAGAGCCGAGUACCAUCAGGCGUCAGCACAGUUACUAAGCUCCCAAGAAUUACCAGCCUGUGAUGCAUCGAUGCUUUUAGGCGGCGUGUGGACCACGAUGGCCAGUGUUACAAAGCGAGAUGGAUCCUCCAGUCAAAGCGAGAUUACCAAGGUCACGCGUGGUCCACGCGGCACGCGGCCUCGUGUUUCAUUCUCCCUCACCCGAUUCCUGGUGGUCAGCCGCCGCCUGCCGGUAGCCACGAUUAUGAUCUUCCUCAGGCCACCAACCAUGACCUCGGAGACCACGGCGUUGCCGCUUAAUGCAGCGGCGGCGGCGAACAAUAGCCGAUGCGCAGGGCGCCUCACCUCGGCGCACCGCGGCUCUACUGCUUCUUGGCGACGGCGGUCCAUGGAGGUUGGUCCACCCCGAGUUCCUCGCCUGUGCAGUAGAUCUUCUUCCCGAGCUCCAAAGCCAGCGCCUCCUGCAUCCUCCUGA